This 520-nucleotide unclassified non-coding RNA is filed under the name Hevea brasiliensis (rubber tree). Lineage: Eukaryota; Viridiplantae; Streptophyta; Magnoliopsida; Malpighiales; Euphorbiaceae. The record is from RNAcentral.
AAUGCUUUUCGGUAUUCACCUUGAAUUAGUGUUCAUAAUUAUUUUUUCCUAUUUCAUUUUAGCUUUCUUCCUCUCACCCUUCAUAUCAUUUACAUGGUCAGGCCUAUAUUUCUUACAAUUAAAAUACCUACACAUGUACAACUUAACCACCCCGAGAACCCUCCCCCGAUGCCGGCAGACAAAUUAUCCAAUCCUGAGGGAGCCUCUAGAUUCCAUAUUCUUUCAAAUGGUCAGCCUUCAUGUCUAGCCAGUCGCAUUCAAGUUCAUUUAGCACAGAAUCAAGUUCACAAUUGCACCAGUAUAAUGACAUGCUUGCUGGCCACCCCGACAGCUGAGAACCACAUCCCCGCAGCCUAGCCAUUCUGCACAAUGAUUGGCUCAACAAAACCUGCCUUUAGGUGGUGCAUGAUCUAUGAACAACCCAACAAUUUGAAAUCUUGUGAUGCUCUCAGCCGAAAGGAAAAACAAACAAAUGAGCCACAACUGCAACUUAUAAAGCUUCCAGGGUAAUUGAUGCUUU